UACGAAGGGUGCAAGCGUUACUCGGAAUUACUGGGCGUAAAGCGUGCGUAGGUGGUUUUUUAAGUCCGUUGUGAAAGCCCUGGGCUCAACCUGGGAAUGGCAGUGGAUACUGGAAAGCUAGAGUGCGGUAGAGGGUAGUGGAAUUCCCGGUGUAGCAGUGAAAUGCGUAGAGAUCGGGAGGAACACCAGUGGCGAAGGCGGCCUUCUGGACCAAUACUGACGCUCAUGCACGAAAGCGUGGGGAGCAAACAGG
Molecule: ribosomal RNA, 253 nt
Filed under: uncultured bacterium
Lineage: Bacteria
Description: partial 16S ribosomal RNA
Rfam family: Bacterial small subunit ribosomal RNA
Source: RNAcentral